This 442-nucleotide long non-coding RNA is filed under the name Homo sapiens (human). Its description in RNAcentral is "HSALNT0317812". Lineage: Eukaryota; Metazoa; Chordata; Mammalia; Primates; Hominidae. The record is from RNAcentral.
UGUGAGCAGGCGGGCACUCCAUAUGGGCACGUGAGCAGGCGGGCACUCCACGUCGGCACGUGUGAGCAGGCGGGCACUCCACAUCGGCACGUGAGCAGGCGGGCACUCCACAUGGGCACGUGUGAGCAGGCGGGCACUCCGCAUCGGCACGUGUGAGCAGGCGGGCACUCCGCAUCGGCACGUGUGAGCAGGCGGGCACUCCGCAUCGGCACGUGUGAGCAGGCGGGCACUCCACAUGGGCACGUGAGCAGGCGGGCACUCCACAUGGGCACGUGUGUGAGCAGGUGGCACUCCACAUCGGCACAUGUGAGCAGGUGGGCACUCCACAUGGACACGUGUGUGAGCAGGCGGGCACUCCACAUGGGCACGUGUGAGCAGGCGGGCACUCCACAUGGGCAUGUGUGAGCAGGCGGGCACUCCACAUGGGCACAUGAGCAGGCGG